CUUAGUAUUAAAUUGAAUUUCUUUUGUUAGCAUUAGUAUUGAUUUUGAACUUUGUUUGAGUUACUACAUUUGGGCUUUAAAAUUUAUUUAUGUCACGACUCAAAAAUCCCUCCGAAGGAGUCGUGAUAGCAUAUAGUCUCUAAACUAGGUAAGCCUAACAUAAACUGAAAUAGCAUUGAUGCUUACUAACUUUAAAUUAACCAACUCUGAAUAAAUCAAAAUUCCCAAAACCGGUGGUACAAGUCACAAGCCUAUCUAAGAGUAAUUUCACAAAAAUAAUACAUCACUGCCCCGAAACAAAGGAGCAAAUGGAAGUAAAUACAAGUGAAGGUGACUUUGAGACCUGCGAACGCUGCAACAAGUUUACCUUAAGUCUCCACCGCAACGACCCGCACAACUACUAUCAAUCCACCUGGAUCUGUACAUAAAAAUGUACAAAAGUGUAGUAUGAGCACACCACGGCGAUGCCCAGUAAGUAUCAAGACUAACCUCGGUGGGGUAGUGACGAGGAACAGUCCGGACACCUACUGGUCAAAUGAAAUGAGCAAGAUAUGAUAAUAAAACAUCAAGAUAAAGAUAACGAAGUGAUAUCAACCGCUGAGAGAAAAUCCAAGUACAAAUAGUACAAUCAAUAAAGGAAGAACACGGAUGGUAACAAAUGAAAACCAAGUAAAUUAGAUAACCCAAGCAAUUCAACACUGAUGUAAUAGAGACGGAGACAAGUAAGAAUGUAUCCAAUUAAAGAAAACAAUGUCAACUCAAUCAAUCAUAUCAUGUUUAAUAUACCAUCCCGGCCAUUUCAAUCCUCGAUUUCUCAUAUUAUAAUCUCAACUUUCAAACUUUCAGCACAUAUGGCACCUCGUGCCCACAUAUUUUCCAUCUCACUCUUGACAACAAAGUCCACAUGAUAUACAAUACAAAAUAUCCUUACAAAUGCACUUAAGAUGUUCAAGAAGUCUUAUUUACAUAAUAUAAAUGAAAUUUCAAUUUCUAAAUAAGGUUGCAAAAUCGGCGAGAAAAGAUGAAGUUAUUUUUUUAGAAAUCAUUCGAGUAAGAAAGUACCCCUUUCAAUUUAAAAUACAACAUCGGAAGAAUUAUUACUCUUAAUAAGGGAGUUGAUAACUUAAAACUUAGUAGAAAUUCCCUUUUAAGAAAAAUACAACCUUAGACAGUUUAAGGGGAUAUGAUUGAGAAACUAAUUGAAUUAAGGAUGUAACAAUUAUUGAAGUUUGAAGUAUUGGAACGUAUAAAUAAAUAUAUAUAAAUACGGUAAAGUAUUAAAAACAUUGUGGAUUCUAACACAAAGGAUCACAUCAAUAAAGAAAUUAAAUACUUUAAACAUUUGAAUUGAUAACAACAAAUAAACACAACAGCAGAAAGUGCACGACAUCACCCUUCGUGCUUUUACUCUCGUUCUCACCAUAAGAAUCAAUAUUCACUUUUAUUCUUUCUUGUUGCGGCGUGCAACCCGGUCCCAAUCAUAUAUUACUGUUGCGGUGUGCAACCCGAUCCAAAAAAUAUUUUACUGUUGCGGCGUGCAACACGAUCCAAAUCAUAUAAUGAUGUUGCAGCGUGCAACCCGAUCCAUAUAAUAUUGUUGCGGCGUGCAACCCGAUCCCAAUGUACCAAUCAACACCAAUCACGAUAGAAUCCAGACAAAGGAAUAAUAAGAAAACAACAAUAUCCCCGCAAGGGAGUCAACAACAAGAAUAAACAUGUCCCGACAAGGGAACAAAUAGUAAGAAUUAAAUAUGUCCCGGUAAAGGAAUCAGCUAUAACCAAACUUGUACCAACAAUUAACUUCACAAUGAAACCCCAACUACACAACAAGACAUAAUAAGCACGUGAUAAUUACACCAACAACUACAACAAUUGGACAUGUAACAUAUUUGCACGAAGUCAUAGAGGAACUCACAAUCAAGAAGUAUCAAAACAAUAAGGAAGGCAAUCACUUCAACUAAGGCAAUUAAGGGUCAAUGUAACAUGUAAGAAUUAGAGGAAAGCUAACAACGUCAUAUGGACCAUAUAGAAGCAAUUUAAGCAACUAGGAAACCCAAUCAUAACAGGAUACUUUCCACAUAAGGACAUAAGAACCCUAGAGCAUAUUUCUCACAAAUAAGUCCGAGCACACACUCGUCACCUCGCAUGCACGGACUACAAUUAGCAAAGAGGACUCAAUCCUAAGGGGAAGUCCUCUACACAAGGUUAGGCAAGAUACUUACCUCAAAGACGACAACCCGGUACUCUAAAAUGAACUUCUCGGGUGAAAAGACCUCCAGACAGCUCAAAUCCAACUAUAACAACUCCAAAACACACAUAAAUUGAAUAAGGAACUAUUCCGAAUAAUAAAGUUUCAAUUUUUACAAAAAUAUAAAAAUCGACCCAAAAGUCGACCCCGGGACCACACCUCGGAACUCGUCAAAUUUUACAAAAUCCGAUCACCCAUUCCAAAAUGAGUUCAACCAUACAAAAUUUAUCAAAUUCCGAUAACAUUUUAUCCCUCAAAUCAUGAUUUUCCGUUUUGAAAUUUUUCUUCAAAAACCAACUCUUUCCCUAACCCAAAACAUAAUUUAAACGAUAAAAAUAAAGCCAAAUUCAUGGAAUAUAUUUAAUUCUAGUUGAAGAAUACUUACCCAAUCGAAUUUCGUGAAAACCCCUUCAAAAAUCGCCAAGAACCGAGCUCUAGAAGUCAAAAUAUGAUGAAAAUGGUAUAACCCUCGAUUUUGGAAUAUAUUCUAUCUGCCCAGGUGUUUGUUCAUUGCGAUCGCGGGAGACGUGAUGCGAUCGCGUAAAAGAAAAUAGCUACCGGCCCAAAAUGUUUUAUGCGAUCGCAGGCAAAUCAAUGCAAUCACAUAGAAGAAAAAUGCUGCUAUCCAAAUUUGUGUUAUGCUAUCGCGAACAAAUCAAUGCAAUCGCAUAGAAGGAAAAUGUUGCUGUCCAAAUUGGUGUUACGCUAUCGCGGACAAAACAAUGCAAUUGCAUAGAAGGAAAAUGCUGCUGUCCAAAUUUGUGUUAUGCUAUCGCAGACAAAUCAAUGCGAUCGCAUAGAAGGAAAUACCAGAUAGCAAAAGAACAGUUCAAACAUAGGAAAAAAUGAACCGUUGCCCAUCCGAAACACACCCAAGGCUCCCGGGACCCCGUCUAAUCACAUAAAUAAGUCAUAUAACCUAGGACGGACUCGCUCGAGGUUUCAAAUCACAUAAAACAACACCAAAACAACGAAUCAAACCAAAAAUCAAACUUAUGAAUUUCCAAAUCUUCAAAUAUCAAAAGUCAACUAUGGGUCAAACUUCUCCGUUUUCCAAACUUCAACUUUUCCAACUUUCGCCGAAAUGCCUCAAUCUACCCUACGGACCUCCAAAUCCGAAUUCGGACGCGCGCCUAAGUCCAAAAUCACCAUACGAAGCUGUUGAGAUCAUCCACGACCCAUUCCGGGGCCGCUUACCCAAAAGUCCAAUUCCGAUCAAAUUCUCACCGUUUAAACUUCCAAAGCUAGUUUCCUUCUUCCAAUUUGACCCUGAAUCAUCCAUUAACUGAAUUCAACCAUGCACGGAAGUCAAUACACAUAUUAUGAAGCUGCUCGAGACCUCAAACUGCCGAACCGGGCACAAUUUCUCAAAACGACCAGUCGGGUCGUUACAAUUUACCAUUCAAGAAUGUAAAGUCUAAACUUGAAAUAAUACGUUAAAAGAUAAAACCGUGAAAAAGUUUAAGAAAUAUUUAUAAAUUACAUUACAUUAAAUAUUUAUAUGUAUAAAAUAUUUUUUAAAAUUAUAUAAAUGUACUAUCGGGUUUGUUUGGUUUCAGUUUUUUUAGUUAAAACCAAACCAAACCAAUUAUGGUCGGGUUUUAUUUUCGACAUAACAUUAAAUAUUUAUUUUUUAUAAAAUAUUUUUAAAAGUUAUAUAAAUGUACUAUCGAGUUUGUUUGGUUUCGGUUUGAGUUUUUUUAGUUAAAAUCAAACCAAACCAAUUAUGGGCGGAUUUUAUUUUCCAAUACCAAACCAAAUCAAACCAAUUUUUUUUUUCUAAUUUGACUCAGAUUAUCGGUUUGGUGCAAUUUUUAUCAUUUUUCUUUGUACAUCCCUAGGUGUAUGCUUAGUUUUCAGUCUAUAUUUUUCUUAUCCUUUUCUCGUGUGUAAGAGAACUUUAUAUUGAAGAAGCAUGUGAACUUACUUGAACACCCUUUGCACAAAUUGGAUUGACUAAGAAGGAUAAGGGAAGUAACCUCACCUGUUCAUUACUUGAAAAUGAAUUUUUAACUUUACAACUUGUAUAUCAGUAUACAUUAUUUCAAGCAAGAUGUCAAAUAAAUUGAGUACUUUUUUCUCUUAAUUGUAACGGUUAAAAGGUAAAAGUGGCCUCUUAAUAUAAGGUUACAGGUGUAAUUUUUCAUAUUUUAAAAGAUAAGUGUGAAGAAAUAAUAUGUCUCAUCCUAAAAGUGCAAAAUGCAAAAUAGAGUAAUAAAUUUAGCAAUAAUAACUGCAUGAUAAAUUGAUGUUAUUUUAUGUUCUAAGAGAAUUUGCAUUUAUAUGAAACUUAAAUAGCAAUUAAUCAAUGUUUUAAUCAACCAAUAUUCAAACCACCAUAUAUAUUAAAUUUUACAAACAAAAAAGAAGCAGCUUUUAAAGGUACGUUCCGCCAGUCUCCUACUAUUUCUCAUUAAUCACACUUUCGUUAAGACGUAUGAUUGGGAAGAAGAGAAGUUGGCUAUCUUGUGUGUUUAACAAGUAUCCCAUAGGACAAUAAGAUUACUUUUUAAUAUUUAACUCUCAUAUUCAUAAUGUCAUCACAUUUAAGCAUGCCCCUGCAUUACUCCCUCCGAUCGUACUUUUUUAACUUUUGGCACACUCCUUAAUUAAGAAAAUACAAACUCCUAAAGAAAAAAGAAUGUAUUCACUAAAUUGUCCUUAAUUAAUUGUUACCUUAACAUAUUGAGAUAUGUAAAUUAGGGCAAAUCUUGAAAAAUAACAUUUAUUCCUUCUUGAUUACGUAAAAGAACACUUAUUUUGGACAAUUUUUUUUUUACUUAUUAUGGAUUAGAGGGAGUAAGUUAUAAUAAAUGCUAGCAGAGUUAUAUGUACUCCCGCUGCAACUCGUGCAAUUGGUAGAUUGGUAACUUGGAGAAUUAAUAGUUAGAGAUAUUUUAUUUGUUAGGUGUUCCUUAAAUUUUGUAGGUACUAUAAAGAAAGAAGAGUUAACCUAAAUAAAUGAAUAAUUUAAACUUAAAAUGGUCAACAGAUGAAUAACUAAUGCGCGCACACACAUAUAUAUAUAUGAAAAAUUAAUUCCAAAGAAAACUUAGUUAUUACGGAAAAUGUUAUAAAGAUGUCUGAUUAUAUAAAUAAGUGCAAUGAUCGUAUAAAGAAAGAUUUUUACAAUAGGUCUAUAUUUAAGUUUCAAAGUCAAUGUAUGCUCAACUUAGUUAAAAUAACACGGUCUAGCCAGUUUUCGAACUGGUCAUUCAAAAAUAGUCAGCAUUUGCUAAGUCAAUGAAAAAUAGUCAUUACUUUACUGUAACAGAGACCGGUCCAGCAUAAUAUACUGGAGUUCGGUGCACCUGUGUAUGAACUUCCAGCAUAUUAUGCUGGACUGGUAUACUUUGCUGGCUCCAGUAUAAUAUACUAGAGACUGAAGCACCGGUGCUCCAAACUCCAGUAUAUUAUGCUGAACCGGUAUAUUAUGCUGGAGUAUUUUUCCGAAUUUUGAACAAUAUUUUCAUUCAGAUUUAUCUUUACAUUAAAAGUGGCUAAAUUUUGAUUACUUUUGGAACUGUAGUUAUUUUUGAGACCACUUGUAAAUCUGACUAUUUUUUAAUUUCUCCCCUCAGCUUAUAAUGUUCUUAUCUAAGAUCUCUAAUAGGACUAAUUAAUUAACAAUAAGAGUGUCAUACCCACCCCAUUUUUAUUUUUUUUACCUUAACCCCUUUUAAAAUAGAUAUAAAGUAAUUUAAAGCUCCAAGGGAUUUUCAAUUUGAAAGCGACGAAAAUUGUGUUUCAAAGGAUUUUGAGAGUCGCCGCUUGACAUAUAAUCUGGUGUGCCAAGUCACCAUUUUAAAAACAAUUUUCCCUUAAAAAUAUUUUGACUCUAAAACAUAGUUUGCACAUGAAAUUCUAAGAGAUCCAUUUGACUCGGGUAGAAGAUGUUAGACAUUUAUCGAAUCCCGUAACUAGUAGGGUUCAUACUUGAUCAAAUUGGCUUUUAAGAAUAUUGAGGUAAAACACACCCAAAAAAAAAACACAAAGAGGUUCUAGCUUGUCCCCACCUAAAAAGGAAAAAAAGGAAAUAAAAGUCCUAAACUAGCAUAUACUAAUGCUUCCUCGAAGGAACGUCCGUCUUCAAUUACAUGUGCUUCGGGGCAUUUUCGGAUAAAAAUAUUUACAAAGUCUACGGAAUAUAAACUAAAGGGAACGACCUCUCCUCACACUCACAUAAAAGAAAAGAAAAGGCCUAAAGUUUGUUUAUCGAAGUGUGGUCGGCCUAAGUAUACUACUUUCAAUCAAACUCAUGAGAGUAAGAAUAAAAGAGCGAUAAAAUUAUCUGAGCUCAAUUUCCUCCACGUUUUAAAAGCCAACUCCCACAACUUCCAUUCAAUCUACUUGAUUAUGUUAAUUUAAUUAUUAUUUUUUGCCAUCAAAGUAGUAACUAUGAGGCCUUAAACAUUUUAUCUCGAAAUGAAACAAAGAAUUAGAAACUCAUUUUUAGGCAUCAAAACCCACCCGAACAGAUUAAACAAAACGACAACAAAAACGAUGAUCAAUAGAAGGAAACCGAGUACACAAGUAUUACUGAGACACCCCAAACAGAACAAUAAAAUAUCAACUCAAACGAUCAACAAGAUAGAGAAGCAACAAUCAGCGAAACAAAGGAAAGCACGGUAUUAAGCAAAACAACAGAAUAAGGGAGAAAUAGACCUCAAAUGAACCUGAAAUUUAAUUGUUUGAUAGUUUGGCAACGCAAUGGGACAGAAUAGCCAACUAGAUCUCCACCAAAAUUGAAGAACGUGGCUUGGACCGGAAAAUCGAAUGGAGACCUCGAACAGGUGGCAGAUUGAUCGAACUCCACAGGAGAAACUCAAACCUUGCCGACGAACUCGAAUCCUACUCAAACAAGAGAGUACCGACGCACAAAGAGUAAACCAAAACUUUGCGUUCAGAUCUUUCGGAGUUGUCCGGCGUAACUUAUCGAGCCUUGUUGCUCUGUUUUUGGAGAGACAAACAGGAACAAAAUAUGGUUAUGGUGUUUUCGGUGGUGAAGGAGACGAAUUGGUGGUUGACCGGCGGAACAGAGAUGAAGGACGGUGGCUUCUGCGGCUGGGAUCUAUAUAUAAGAAAAGGGAUUUCAACUUGGAGAGGAAGGAAUGUGUGAGCAGAAGGAAUCAAUUUAAAAUUGUGAUAAAAAAGAAUCAAAUUCUGUUACGAUGGAAGGAGAGCACGUGAAUUUUAGGGAGGAAAAUCAAUUUAGAAGAAUAAGAGAAUUAAGGAAAGGAUAAAAUAUAGGGGGCCACAUACAACUACAAUUAUCUGAUUCUCUUUCCACCUUCUUUUCCUUUUCUUUGAUUUUUUCCUUUUGCUUUUCACGUUCUUUGCUUC
RNAcentral lists this long non-coding RNA (7591 nucleotides) under Nicotiana tabacum (common tobacco). Its description in RNAcentral is "long non-coding RNA (NTAB_LNC012958)". The record is from RNAcentral. Lineage: Eukaryota; Viridiplantae; Streptophyta; Magnoliopsida; Solanales; Solanaceae.